Long non-coding RNA from Rhincodon typus (whale shark), 395 nucleotides. RefSeq lists it as uncharacterized. The transcript has 2 exons. NCBI's taxonomy places the organism in Eukaryota, Metazoa, Chordata, Chondrichthyes, Orectolobiformes, Rhincodontidae. The record is from RefSeq and is a predicted model, not a curated record.
AGAAACUGAAGUGAUUCUUGAGAAACCUCAGCAGGACACUGUCGGUACUUAGCUAGAGUCUCAAAGCCAGGUUCAACUGAGAGACCAAGAAAGUUGUAGGUAAUGGGAAAGGAAGAUGCAAUCGGAGCACCAAUGCUUAAACUGCAUUAAUGUCUUGAUGAUUGGGUUCAAAACCCAGUUUGCCAUUACACAGAACCAAUUGCUGUCCUGCAAUAUAAUAACACUGGAUCAAUUCAGAAAGCCAUUCUGUUGCUUGUGAUAACUUGCCUUGAAUUUUCUGGGCACAUUGAAACCUGUAUCUCUGUCUAAAAUGCAACCUGAACUCAACUUUUUUUGUUUUAAACGGAGAUAUGUUUGUCUGAAAAUGCCAAAAUAAAAUGCUGUGUAUAGGUCUU